This 263-nucleotide ribosomal RNA is filed under the name uncultured Staphylococcus sp. RNAcentral describes it as "partial 16S ribosomal RNA". It matches the Rfam family "Bacterial small subunit ribosomal RNA", at positions 99 to 355 of the family's 1533-position model. Lineage: Bacteria; Bacillati; Bacillota; Bacilli; Caryophanales; Staphylococcaceae. The record is from RNAcentral.
CGGACGGGUGAGUAACACGUGGAUAACCUACCUAUAAGACUGGGAUAACUUCGGGAAACCGGAGCUAAUACCGGAUAAUAUAUUGAACCGCAUGGUUCAAUAGUGAAAGACGGUCUUGCUGUCACUUAUAGAUGGAUCCGCGCCGCAUUAGCUAGUUGGUAAGGUAACGGCUUACCAAGGCAACGAUGCGUAGCCGACCUGAGAGGGUGAUCGGCCACACUGGAACUGAGACACGGUCCAGACUCCUACGGGAGGCAGCAGUC